Molecule: ribosomal RNA, 208 nt
Filed under: uncultured bacterium
Lineage: Bacteria
Description: partial 16S ribosomal RNA
Rfam family: Bacterial small subunit ribosomal RNA
Source: RNAcentral
GGUAGCGGGGGAGUAACUAUUGAAACGAUAGCUAAUACCGCAUGAAAUUGCUUAUCGCAUGAUAAUUAAAUUGAAGGAUGCAAUUGCAUCACUACCAGAUGGACCUGCGUUGUAUUAGCUAGUUGGUGAGGUAACGGCUCACCAAGGCGACGAUACAUAGCCGACCUGAGAGGGUGAUCGGCCACACUGGGACUGAGACACGGCCCAG